Molecule: non-coding RNA, 699 nt
Organism: Benincasa hispida (wax gourd)
Lineage: Eukaryota; Viridiplantae; Streptophyta; Magnoliopsida; Cucurbitales; Cucurbitaceae
Source: RefSeq, a predicted model, not a curated record
AUCUAUCUUCAUCUUCCUCUUCUUUUGCCCGAACUCUCAUUCCUCCAAACUCACUUUCUCAAUCACACUUCCAAAAUCCCUCACCGGAACACUAGAGGAAUUCAACCUAUCUAAGAAGAUCUGAGUUUCGUCCCAGUUCCAUCCGACACCGUUGAGGUUCGUUUUAGAUCCACGAGCUUCGAGCUUUGUUUAAUUUCAUGUUCAUCUAAGUAGAUAUGAGUUGCUACAGAUCGAGCUUCGAUCCAUGAGGUUCAUUUCAGAUCCACGAGGUUGUGCUUCGAUCCAUCAAUUUUUUUGAUUGUGAAGGUUAAGUUUCUUGAAUGGUAUUUGGCGAUGGUCAAAUGUCGUCCAGUUCUUACCAAGAGUGUCACUUCUGUGCUUAUUUACACAGCUGUUGAUUUGUUGUCUCAGCUAUUCAAUGAAAAAUGGCUACUAUGAAGUAAAAUAUAGCUGAAGAAGAUGGUGGAGACCGUUUGAAGAGCAAGUUUGAUGCUCCAAAUCUUAAGGAGUAUCAGUUUCUUCCAAAAUUUCAAGGUACAUGCAAUGGUUAUUAUUUCAUUGAUGUAGUUGCUCAAAGCGAGAAGUUCAAGGUGAGCUACGUUAUUCUUGUGGAGGUAGGAAUAUAGUGAGUGAGAUUUGGCUAGGAUUACUUCAUACAGGAUUGAUAGAUGUAAUCUUUUUAAUUGUUCUUAAAGGAGA